GACCAGACUCCUACGGGAGGCAGCAGUGGGGGAUAUUGCACAAUGGGGGAAACCCUGAUGCAGCGACGCCGCGUGAGUGAAGAAGUAUUUCGGUAUGUAAAGCUCUAUCAGCAGGGAAGAAAAAAGACGGUACCUGACUAAGAAGCCCCGGCUAACUACGUGCCAGCAGCCGCGGUAAUACGUAGGGGGCAAGCGUUAUCCGGAUUUACUGGGUGUAAAGGGAGCGUAGACGGCAAUACAAGUCGGAAGUGAAAUACCCGGGCUCAACCCCCGAACUGCAUUUGAAACUGUUGGUCUUGAGUAUCGGAGAGGCAGGCGGAAUUCCUAGUGUAGCGGUGAAAUGCGUAGAUAUUAGGAGGAACACCAGUGGCGAAGGCGGCUUACUGGACUGUAACUGACGUUGAGGCUCGAAAGCGUGGGGAGCAAACAGGAUUAGAUACCCCUGUAU
This 448-nucleotide ribosomal RNA is filed under the name uncultured bacterium. RNAcentral's name for it is "bacterial SSU rRNA". It matches the Rfam family "Bacterial small subunit ribosomal RNA", at positions 329 to 793 of the family's 1533-position model. The record is from RNAcentral.